GGUGGCUCAGUGGAAGAGCGCUUGCCUUGUCAUGCAUGAGGCCCUGGGUUCGAUUCCUCAGCACCA
Dipodomys ordii (Ord's kangaroo rat) is the source of this 66-nucleotide non-coding RNA. NCBI's taxonomy places the organism in Eukaryota, Metazoa, Chordata, Mammalia, Rodentia, Heteromyidae. The record is from Rfam.